RNAcentral lists this ribosomal RNA (460 nucleotides) under uncultured bacterium. RNAcentral's name for it is "partial 16S ribosomal RNA". It matches the Rfam family "Bacterial small subunit ribosomal RNA", at positions 338 to 795 of the family's 1533-position model. The record is from RNAcentral.
CCUACGGGAGGCAGCAGUGAGGAAUAUUGGUCAAUGGGCGAGAGCCUGAUCCAGCGAAGCCGCGUGAAGGAUGAAGGCCCUACGGGCUGUAAACUUCUUUGGUCAGGGAGCAAUUGGGCCCACGCGUGGGCUUAGCGAGCGUACCUGAAGAAGCAGCCUCGCCUAGCUCCGUGCCAGCAGCCGCGGUAAUACGGAGGUUGCGAGCGUUAACCGGAUUUAUUGGGGUUAAGGGGUGCGUAGGGGGAAGAUCAGGGCAGCGGUAAAAAUUCGGGGCUCAACCCCGUCGUGCCGUUGAAACUGGUGUUCUUGAGUGGGCGAGAAGUAGGCGGAAUGCGUGGUGUAGCGGUGAAAUGCAUAGAUAUCACGCAGAACACCGAUGGCGAAGGCAGCAUACCGGCGCCCAACUGACGCUGAAGCACGAAAGCGUGGGUAUCGAACAGGAUUAGAUACCCUGGUAGUC